This 331-nucleotide ribosomal RNA is filed under the name uncultured bacterium. Its description in RNAcentral is "bacterial SSU rRNA". It matches the Rfam family "Bacterial small subunit ribosomal RNA", at positions 568 to 898 of the family's 1533-position model. The record is from RNAcentral.
CGUGUAGGCGGUUUCUUAAGUCUGAUGUGAAAGCCCCGGGCUCAACCCGGGAAGUGCAUUGGAUACUGGGAGACUUGAAUACGGGAGAGGGUAGUGGAAUUCCUAGUGUAGGAGUGAAAUCCGUAGAUAUUAGGAGGAACACCGGUGGCGAAGGCGGCUACCUGGACCGAUAUUGACGCUGAGACGCGAAAGCGUGGGGAGCAAACAGGAUUAGAUACCCUGGUAGUCCACGCCGUAAACGAUGAGAACUAGGUGUUGCGGGUAUUGACCCCUGCAGUGCCGCAGCUAACGCAUUAAGUUCUCCGCCUGGAAGUACGGUCGCAAGACUAAA